This 62-nucleotide transfer RNA is filed under the name Marellia remipes. RNAcentral's name for it is "tRNA-Cys". The record is from RNAcentral. Lineage: Eukaryota; Metazoa; Arthropoda; Insecta; Orthoptera; Acrididae.
GGCUUUAUAUUCAACAAUGAUUCUAGAUUGCAAAUCUAGAGGUGUAAUUCUUACUAAGGCUU